GAAGUCAGCUCAACUUCAGUGUAGAAGGUUGGUGUAUGAUAAAAUUUUACAUUAAUUUUUAGUUGGUCACAACUAAAACUCACAAAUCCAUUUCGGAAAUCUAGAUCUAAAAGACAACAUUGAAUUAAUGUUUAAAAAGCCAUACUAAUUGUAUAUGUCAGGUAGAAAUCUUAGUCUGAAAUUGAUGAAUAAUUCAAAUGCUAUUUUUUUUUGUCUGAAAUCUAUACUAAACCAUUGGAACAGCUUAGCUCAGCUAACUCUAAUCCUUAAGUUGGAUAUGCCCAGUAGUUGUAGGAAUGCCAUCAAGGAUUUAUCCGUUGGGUUAAGCUUGAAAGCUCAAACAUUGAGUGUUUAUAUUUAAGAGCUUCUUCCUUCCAUGCUAUUGGAGAAUAUAGAGAAGCGGUGAAGGAUUAUGAUGCUGCUUUGGAUUUGGAACUGAACUCCAUGGAAAAAUUCGUGCUUCAAUGCUUGGCCUUCUAUCAGUUUUUUGCAACAAUUCCUGGCACCAUUGAGAAUGGCAUACCUAUCGAUAAAGGAAAAUUAUUAAAGUCAUUCUAGAGUAAUUUAUGGAAUUACUUAUUUAGUAAUGUUGACAAAUGAGAAACCACAUAACACUCUAAAUGAGUUACAUAUGGAGAAAAGAGGGUAUUAAUGUUGUGGUAUAAAAGGAAACCAUGGAACAGGUGUCAGAGAACAAAUUUCCUUUCAA
This is a non-coding RNA of Camellia sinensis, 709 nucleotides long. The record is from RefSeq and is a predicted model, not a curated record. Lineage: Eukaryota; Viridiplantae; Streptophyta; Magnoliopsida; Ericales; Theaceae.